Molecule: ribosomal RNA, 253 nt
Filed under: uncultured bacterium
Lineage: Bacteria
Description: partial 16S ribosomal RNA
Rfam family: Bacterial small subunit ribosomal RNA
Source: RNAcentral
CACGUAGGGCGCAAGCGUUGUCCGGAAUUAUUGGGCGUAAAGAGCUCGUAGGCGGUCUGUUGCGUCCGCUGUGAAAACUCGGGGCUUAACCCCGAGCCUGCAGUGGAUACGGGCAGACUAGAGGUAGGUAGGGGAGAAUGGAAUUCCCGGUGUAGCGGUGAAAUGUGUAGAGAUCGGGAGGAACACCGGUGGCGAAGGCGGGUCUCUGGGCAUCUCCUGACGCUGAGACACGAAGGUCAGGGGAGCAAACGGG